This is a long non-coding RNA of Monopterus albus (swamp eel), 205 nucleotides long. RefSeq lists it as uncharacterized. Lineage: Eukaryota; Metazoa; Chordata; Actinopteri; Synbranchiformes; Synbranchidae. The transcript has 3 exons. The record is from RefSeq and is a predicted model, not a curated record.
GUGAUCACUGGGAAAGUUUCAUGUGAUGGGUUUUUGCCGGAAUUACCUAGCUACCGGCUUCCGGGAAGAUUUUCCGUCCGUCCGGCUCCGCGGACUCAAGGAGAAAAAGGACAGACUGUUCCUCUGUGUAACCACACUAAGGACCUAAAAGAUUCAUAAAUAUUUGUACACAGGUCCACAUCCGCCUCCCCAUGCAGAACUCCAU